RNAcentral lists this non-coding RNA (192 nucleotides) under human gut metagenome. The record is from RNAcentral.
CGUCGUGAGACGGAAUCUGAAGAAAGCCGGAUUUUAGGGGUUGAAAAGUCCCCUGAUGGGCAAAACUCUGGCCUGACGAACAGAAAUCGCAUACAAGGCCGUAAAUGAGGGUGAGUUUGCAGCACAAAACAAAGCCCAGUAGCUACACGGAAUCAUUUGCGGUAAAUGCGGCAGGUAAAGAGGGAAAGAACG